CAAAAGAAAAACCACCAAACCAAACCCAUCCAUCGUGUAUUUAGAGUGUGGCAUACUUGCAUGAUAAGGUUCGAAGCAAUGUCAGAUCGGGGAAAGCAAGGUGCAUCAAUAGGAUACACAAACCUCCUUGAAGGGUCAUAUUGUAUUUAGCUUAAUGACUAUAAUGAAAAUAAUGGGAAUUUGGCUAUUACUUGUUAUAAGCAAACAAGUCGACUUCCCUCAAAAUGAGCUCGUAGAUAUUAAGGACGUUGUGAUAUUUUAGCAAUUUAGUGGUUCAAAACAAAGGUUGAAUGGAUUUUGAAGCUAGUGCGACUUGGAAUUUUGAGGAAGAUGUUGGAAGGCCUAUUAUGGCCAUGAUAUAUGGUCAUUAUGGGUAAUUUAUAUAUUACGAGUAUAGUUUAUUCUUAUAGGA
This is a long non-coding RNA of Erigeron canadensis, 412 nucleotides long. RefSeq lists it as uncharacterized. Lineage: Eukaryota; Viridiplantae; Streptophyta; Magnoliopsida; Asterales; Asteraceae. The record is from RefSeq and is a predicted model, not a curated record. The transcript has 3 exons.